This is a long non-coding RNA of Olea europaea var. sylvestris, 311 nucleotides long. RefSeq lists it as uncharacterized. Lineage: Eukaryota; Viridiplantae; Streptophyta; Magnoliopsida; Lamiales; Oleaceae. The record is from RefSeq and is a predicted model, not a curated record. The transcript is spliced from 4 exons.
CCUCUGUGGCGGUGGCCUGUAAAUUCAUUGCAGCCUCUCUCAAUCGCCCUGUCAAACCCUUCUGUGAUAGCAAUUCUGAAUUGGAUGAUUUUCUGUCCGACUACUGCGAACCUUGCCCAACUAAUGGAGAAUGUCAUGAUGGCAAGUUGGAAUGUGCUCGUGGAUAUAAAAAGCAUGGGAAGUUAUGUUUUGAGGAUGGAGAUAUUAAUGAAGCAGCUAAGAAACUAUCAAAAUUUGCAGAAGUUCGUGCAUGUGAAAAGUAUGCUCAGUCGUUGUGUGGUGAAACUGGAACUUAUUGGGUCCAGGAGGAU